AGGGCUGUAGGUAAGUGGUAUACCGAGGCUCUCCAAAAGCCCAGUCGGAGGUUCGAUUCCUCCCAGCCCUG
This 71-nucleotide transfer RNA is filed under the name Candidatus Gottesmanbacteria bacterium. RNAcentral describes it as "tRNA-Trp". It matches the Rfam family "tRNA". Rfam says of the family: Transfer RNA (tRNA) molecules are approximately 80 nucleotides in length. The record is from RNAcentral. Lineage: Bacteria; Candidatus Gottesmaniibacteriota.